UGGGGAAUAUUGGGCAAUGGGCGAAAGCCUGACCCAGCAACGCCGCGUGAAGGAAGAAGGUUUUCGGAUUGUAAACUUCUGUCCUCAGGGAAGAAGGAAGUGACGGUACCUGAGGAGGAAGCCCCGGCUAACUACGUGCCAGCAGCCGCGGUAAUACGUAGGGGGCGAGCGUUGUCCGGAAUGACUGGGCGUAAAGGGCGCGUAGACGGUUUUUUAAGUCUGGAGUGAAAGUCCUGCUUUCAAGGUGGGAAUUGCUUUGGAGACUGGGGGACUUGAGUGCGGAAGAGGUAAGUGGAAUUCCCAGUGUAGCGGUGAAAUGCGUAGAGAUUGGGAAGAACACCAGUGGCGAAGGCGACUUACUGGGCCGUAACUGACGUUGAUGCGCGAAAGCGUGGGGAGCGAACAGG
This 407-nucleotide ribosomal RNA is filed under the name uncultured prokaryote. Its description in RNAcentral is "bacterial SSU rRNA". It matches the Rfam family "Bacterial small subunit ribosomal RNA", at positions 355 to 776 of the family's 1533-position model. RNAcentral also lists the same sequence under 1 other name. The record is from RNAcentral.